UUGACAGAAAAGCCCAUCUAAAGUGUCCAGACAAGGUGCAAGAACUGAGCCAGGAGCUUCUGUGGCAAGCUGCGGGGAAGUCUGGGGCUUUCAUCUUCUGAGUCCUGGCUCAGCGUUCACCGGCCUGGCUUUGGAGCAUAUCUGCCAUCCAGUGUCUCCCUGGGAUUUAAAUAGCGCUGUUUCAUUCCGGUUUAUCAGGAGAAUUUACGCACAUGGCCCCAGUAAUAUUGAGACAUCCGUUAGGAAAUCCAGGCAGGGGAAAAUGAAUGUUGCUGCUAACAUUUGACAUCAAUCGCCCGAUCACAUGUUGUCCCAUCAUUACUCAGCACUGACACAAAGGGAAGAAAGAGACCUCUGCUCAAAUGGUGCUCUCAGACAAGGAACCAAUUCACAGUCCUUGGUAACGGCAGAACAGGGAACAAGAUGAAAUU
Molecule: long non-coding RNA, 431 nt
Filed under: Mus spicilegus (steppe mouse)
Lineage: Eukaryota; Metazoa; Chordata; Mammalia; Rodentia; Muridae
Description: lncRNA (ENSMSIG00000023458.1)
Source: RNAcentral